UACGGAGGAUCCAAGCGUUAUUCGGAAUAACUGGGCGUAAAGAGUUGCUUAGGCGGUUUGUUAAUCGAGAUUUGAAAUCCCAAGGCUCAACCUUGGAACUGCAUUUCGAACUGGCAGACUUGAGAAUGUGAGGGGAAACUGGAAUUCCAGGUGUAGGAGUGAAAUCCGUAGAUAUCUGGAGGAACACCAAUGGCGAAGGCAGGUUUCUGGCACAUUACUGACGCUGAGGCACGAAAGCGUGGGGAGCGAACGGG
This 254-nucleotide ribosomal RNA is filed under the name uncultured bacterium. RNAcentral describes it as "partial 16S ribosomal RNA". It matches the Rfam family "Bacterial small subunit ribosomal RNA", at positions 524 to 776 of the family's 1533-position model. The record is from RNAcentral.